AUCAGGUGGGAUUACCCGCUGAACUUAAGCAUAUCAAUAAGCGGAGGAAAAGAAACUAACAAGGAUUCCCCUAGUAACGGCGAGUGAAGAGGGAAAAGCCCAAAUUUGUAAUCUGGCUCUUUUAGAGUCCGAGUUGUAAUUUUGAGAACUGUUUUCAGUGCUGGACCAUGUUUAAGUCUGUUGAAAAACAGCAUCAUUGAGGGUGAUAAUCCCGUUCAUGAUAUGGACUACCAGUACUUUAUGAUACAGUCUCUAAGAGUCGAGUUGUUUGGGAAUGCAGCUCAAAGUGGGUGGUAAAUUCCAUCUAAGGCUAAAUAUAGGUGAGAGACCGAUAGCAAACAAGUACCGUGAGGGAAAGAUGAAAAGAACUUUGGAAAGAGAGUUAACAGUACGUGAAAUUGCUGAAAGGGAAACAAUUGAAGUUAGCCUUGUUAUUGUCAGUUCAGCUCUUUUAGAGUGUAUUCUGAUGAUUAACGACCAACAUCAGUCUUUGAGUGCUGGAUAAGGGUUUUGGAAAUGUAGCAGUCUCGGCUGUGUUAUAGUCCAUUACUUUGAUACAGUGCUUGGGAUUGAGGAUCGCAGUAAGCCAUUUUAUGGUGGACCAAAUUUUUGGUCUUCUUACUGAGGAUGUUGGUGAAAUAGCU
Molecule: ribosomal RNA, 644 nt
Filed under: Neophysopella vitis
Lineage: Eukaryota; Fungi; Basidiomycota; Pucciniomycetes; Pucciniales; Crossopsoraceae
Description: partial large subunit ribosomal RNA
Rfam family: Eukaryotic large subunit ribosomal RNA
Source: RNAcentral